RNAcentral lists this ribosomal RNA (921 nucleotides) under Triticum aestivum (bread wheat). Its description in RNAcentral is "partial small subunit ribosomal RNA". Lineage: Eukaryota; Viridiplantae; Streptophyta; Magnoliopsida; Poales; Poaceae. The record is from RNAcentral.
AUGCUCCUCCUCUCCCUCUGGCCGCCCGGCCACCACCAUGACGCAGCGGCCUCCUCCUCGGCGUGCUCCUCUCACUCCGUGGCCACUGCCGCGCACUCCACCGCGUCUUCGCCCUGGUUCAACCCAAGUCAUGUCUACCAUGGCUGUGGCGUCGGAGGCGGCGGCGGCAGCAACGGCAGCUUCUUGUUCCACGAGCAGGACCCUAACGUGAGCGUGUCGCUCUCCAUCGCCCCUCCGUCUCCGUGCGGUGCCAAUCUGGCUCCCUGCGGCGGGAGCUACGCCUACGCCGCGCCGGUCGCGCCGCCCUCGGCCGCCACGGCGGGCGGGAACCAGGUGCCCAGCCAGUACUGGAUCCCCUCCGCCGCCGAGAUCCUCGUCGGCUCCACCCAGUUCUCCUGCGCAGUCUGCAACAAGACCUUCAACCGCUUCAACAACAUGCAGAUGCAUAUGUGGGGGCACGGGUCGCAGUACCGCAAGGGAUCGGAGUCGCUGCGGGGGGCGGUGACGGUGGGCACGGCAGCGCCGCCGCCGUCGCUGAUGCGGUUGCCGUGCUACUGCUGCGCGGAGGGAUGCCGGAACAACAUCGACCACCCGCGGGCGCGGCCGCUCAAGGACUUCCGCACGCUGCAGACGCACUACCGCCGCAAGCACGGCGCGAGGCCCUACGCGUGCCGCCGCUGCGGCAAGCGGUUCGCCGUGCGCGGCGACUGGCGCACCCACGAGAAGAACUGCGGCAAGCUGUGGUUCUGCGUCUGUGGCUCCGACUUUAAGCACAAGCGCUCCCUCAAGGACCACGUCCGCUCCUUCGGAGGCGGCCACGCGCCGCACAUUAUCGAGUCCGUGGCCGUCGACGAGGACGAGGACGAGGACGACGAGCAUGACGACGGCGACCUGCACCUGUACGACGAGAACGGCAACCCC